This 8198-nucleotide long non-coding RNA is filed under the name Malus domestica (apple). RNAcentral's name for it is "long non-coding RNA (MDOM_LNC010509)". Lineage: Eukaryota; Viridiplantae; Streptophyta; Magnoliopsida; Rosales; Rosaceae. The record is from RNAcentral.
UGGUUACCCAAGCUAAUCAGAAGAGGUAGAGAACCUAUUCAGUUUAGGAUUACAAAUGCAAUACGGUGUUUCUCUAAUACAAUACUCUUGACCACAUUGUUUGGUUUGAUAGUUUAUUCAUGUCUACUAUCCAAUGUGAUUUGUGUGCUUAUAUGAUUACCUUGAAUGUGAUUUGGAACGACUUUCCUAAAUCUCAUUCAUACUCUGGCCAGAGAUUCUAAAUCAUAUCAUAGAGUAUUCUCCCCCAAACGGUUUGAAGGUUAGAGAUCCCUUGUUGCGCAUUCACUUGCCUCCAUAGCUAAGUGGCUUAACCCCAACGAUGCCGUGGACACCCGCGGAUGGGGUGACUUUGACAUAAUCAAAGAUCAAGGACUUAACCACAAGACAAACGUGAUGCUCAGGUCAAAGGACUACUUUGCAUUAUCCCAACCAUGAGUUCUCAUGUGACAUGAAUAUGAGAACUCUACGUACUUGUCUUGAUGUCACACACACCAAUGACUCGAGACUAGUCACUCUCCCUGAGAGAAUACACAGCACGUACUGAUCUUAACGGACUGUCAAUGCCCAAAUGGCAAUCGUAUGAUCAGGAACGUUUAGGAUGUGUCUACAAAAGAAUGGUCUCAUGAAUCUAACUUCUUUAGAACGCAUUCUCCCAAUCACAUAUUCCUUGGACUUAUCGUUUAAGCAUAUAACAUUUAUAUGAGACCGCUUAAAGAAUAAUCUUUGCCCUUGAUAUUAAACUAGAUUAGUUUAACAUGUGAAAUGUCCGUAAAGUAUCAUCAUAUGAUUGGUUUUACGGCACAUUUCCAACAAUCUCCCACUUGCACUAGAGCCAAUCAGCUUGGUCAUCAAUGAUGAUACCUCUUCUGUAGUCAUUUCAUAAAUGGCUGAAUAGUAGGCCUAGACAAUGGAUAUCUAUAUGUUAUCCAUAGAAGCAACCUUGAGAAUAACGACGUCACCAUUAUACAUGAUUCUCAAUCAUGUGGUUCAGUCUCUCAUUUGAGUUUGGACCUUGAUGAGACCUUGAUUCCCUGGCUUGAGCUAUCGCCCCAUUAGUGUCAUAGUGUCAGUAAACUAGAUACACUUUCUGGUUGGAACCGAAUAGAGAGUUCAUAAAUGAACUUUCCCAUCCAAACAACAUUGUUGUAAGCUUCUAUAUGGCAAUAUAUUUUGCAUUCAUAAUGGAACACACUAAAGUCAUUACUUUAAUGGUUCCAUCCAAAUAUCUCUUUAGUCAUAAUAAAGAGAUAUCCGUUUAUAUCUUCAUUCAUAAUGAAGAAACAUCCAAUGAUGGAUUAGAUUCAUAAUCUAAUACAUUUACGCUUCCAUUACGUUACUCUAAUUCUUCCUCGAUCUUUGAGGAAUUUAUCCUUUAGUAUUUCUUAAAUACUAAAGGACUCACUUGACAGUUGCCAUGGUUCUGAUCCUGGGCUUGCACUGAUAUCGUCUUGUACCGUUCUAGGUACAACUCAUAUCAAUGUUUUUCAUACAAUAUGAAAUACAUAAAUCCCCUUUAUGCGUAUGUAUAAAGGAUUCUAUUUACGCAUUAUUUCUUUGGGAGUCAAAGAGUACGUUCUCUUUGAGAAGAGCAACUUCUUAGUCUCACUAGAGUUGUCCUUCUAAUUGAAGUUUAUCAUCAUAUGAGAAACUUCCUAGCAUCUAUUGUCUAUUAUUAGGGAUUGAUAUAAUCCAAUUAUAUCAUGAAAUAUAUCAUUAUAGAUUUUCAUCCCAUGUAUAUAGACUAUAUCUCCCAUAUACAUUCUAUCUUCAUAUAUUGUUUUAAAGUCAUAACUUUAAAGAAGAAGUAUCCUUUUCAUUUCCAAAAUUAAUAUAUCAUAUAUAUUUAAAUUUUAGGAACAUGAUUAACUCCCAUAUACAUUCUAUCUUCAUAUAAUGUUUCAAAGUCUUAACUUUAAAGAAGAAGUAUUCUUUGCAUUUCCAAAAUUAAUAUAUCAUAUAUAUUUAAAUUUUAGGAACAUGAUUAACUCCCACUAACCUUUUGUAAACCUAGUAAACAAAAGAUUCAUUUACAUCUUUAUGAGAAAUCAAAUGAUUUGAUCCUUUUCUCAUAAGAUGCUUAUAGCUCCCACUAGCUUGCUAAGAUUCAUGAUGGAUGGAUCUCUACAACUUAUAUGUCUUGUGAUUCAUAGUUUUAGACAUAUAUAUUAUCAAGACUAUCUUAAUAAUGGUUUCGGAAACCCAUAUAAUGUCCAAACAUUGAAUCACCAUUUAGUUGUAGCUAGCUAUCUUCGAAUUAAUUGAAACCAAGACUACGUCAAAAAUGGUUUCUUCAAAGUCAACCAUCCUUUUGAUUGUAGUUACCUUAAGCUACCAUUAGCUUAUGAAGGUUUCAUUAUUUCGGGUCAAAUGGUACUUUACCAUUUCCUUGAGUAUAUAUCGUAUAUACACUCAAUGUAGUCAUAAGGAUUUUCAUUCUUAUUUCUUUCGAAUUAAGAGGUGCAACUCUAUGACAUAGUCAUAAAGUUCAAACCAUUCAACUUUGACGGUUUAUAAAUCCUUCUCGACUACCUUGGAGCUUUUGGUAUAGGAACUAGGUUGUUUAUAUUUGUUGAUUACUUUCUUGUCUCUCAAAGAACCCAUUCUUUGAGUUCUAUCUCUCGUUCAUUUGCUUUUAGGCAAAUCACAUUGUAGGAUUACAAUGAACUACCCAACAAAACAACAUUUGUUAGUUGGUUUAUAGAAGCGAUAUCCAAAAGUUAAUUUAAGGAUAUCCCACAAGAUUGUUAUCAAACAAAUAUUGCUUAUUAGCUCACAACCCCAAAUCUUAACAUGCUUAAGAUUUGUCUUUCUUUCCAACUACAUCUUAUGGAGUCAUGAAAAAUUUGGAAGAUCUUCUAAUUGACAAUCAUAUUGUUUUUAGAAGUAUAUAUCCUAUAUAUGGGUAAUAGAUAACAUCCAACGAACUAAAUCUUAUUUAAGUUCGUUCUUCUCCUUAUGUAGAAAUCUAUUAUCUUAUGAUGCUUAUUUCCUUGAUAUCUUUCAAGGAAAUUGUUCUAAAGUGUUACCUUAUCUUGGAUCAAAUCUAAGGAGGUAAAUACUUUAGACGUCUUACUCAUCAACUUACAUUACUUGAAUUCUUUGAAACAUUUUGCAAAGUAUUCGGAUUUGUGUUUAUUCAAAAUAAACUAUAGUCCAACCGAGAGUGAUCUUCGGUGAAUGUCAUAUAACAUGAGUAGUAUUAUGUUGUGGACAAGUGCCAACAACAUCUAAGUGAAUUAACCUCAACAACUUUGUGAUUCUUUCUUCUUUCCAAAAAAAUAAAGAUUCGAACAUUUCGCCUCUAUACAAUUUUAAAAGGAAGGUAUUGGAUCCGGAUCUAACGAUCCAAAGCAUCCAUCUUUCACCAACUCGUAACUUAUGUUUUAGAGGUAUCAGAAUUUAGUUGGGAUUAGUCACUACCUUGCAACCUUUUUCGGUUUUAAGCAUCAUUUUAUUCUAAACAGUUAACACCACCAUAUUAUCUCUACUAUAGAGACAAUCAAUUAGAUUACUAUAAUUCAAUCAUUGAUUAAUAAAGAACAAUGUUUUGUCAAACAAAACAUUCAUCCAUCUCUACUAUAGUGACGGAAUUAAGUUCCUUAAAAUUGGAAUGUAAAGACAAUCUUUGGUUUUUCCAAUUUCUUUGGUAGUUCAUAUGAGGAAGUAAGUACUAUCUGCUUUCGUAGAGAUCUAUAUUUUAUUCACGUUCCGAAUGUGAAGCACCUUUUUCUUCUCUCAUAUAUCUUCUACUUCUUAUUAGUCACACUUUUACAACGAUUGUAAAACAUAGUUGCUAAUACGGAAUCAAGCAUUCAAGUAGAAGAACCAACUGUUUUGAACUAUUCAAGAACAAUUUACAACACCUUCGAAAGGUGUGUUCUUGAUACUUGCAAGACAUUUCUUGCAAAUACCCCUUCCAAUGUCCAUCCUUUCAUAAAGAAAGUUUGUUCCCUUGGAGUUAAUUUUAUCUUCUUCAUUUGACUUUCACCUUUGACUACAUUAGUCAUGGUCCCUAAACUCCCACUAUCUCUCUUGAAACUUAUUUCAAUUGUGUUAUACACAUCAAACGAUUUUGGAGAGUAUGUGUUUAUUGUUCACUAUAUAGUUUACAAUAAACUUAGUGAACCAUUAGGAUAGGGACAUAAAGGUGAAGUCCUAGCCUAGUCUCCGUCUCGUUAAAUGGUUUAUCACUUCAACACUCAAUGAUUCAAAAUCAUCAUAAGUCCAUGUUGAUGGACUAUUUUUGUCAACCAACCAUUAUGUUCUAAACAUAAUUACAAACUUUCAAGAGUUGUACAAGGCAACUCUCAUUUCUUCAUACAACAAUUUGUAAGUGAAGAAUCAUGGCACAUAAAGUGUCCAUGCCAUUGUGCUUUCUUCUCAAGUUCUUUGUUCAUUUAACAAAGAAACAAGCACUAGUGUUUGCAUUGACUAAGGGUUGUUCAAAGCAACUCUUAUUUCUUCAUACAACGAUUUGUAAUUGAAGAAUUAUGACAUUAAAAGUGUUGUCCUCUUUAUGAUAGACUUUUUCUAACAUAUUCUUCUAAUGAUACAUUAUCAAUAGGAAGAUUGUGAGGAUGAGAGACUACUUAGGUACAUUUACAAGCCAUUAAAGACAAUCUAUUGGUUUUGUAGUACCAAGUCCGGAAACUAAAGCUUUCGGCUUUUAUUUGUCAAGUGUUGGAUAGCGUUUGCAAAUAUAUUGGUAAAUAAAUACAUAACGAAUAUAAAUUGAUUGAUUUUAAGCCAUUUGAUCCGGGUCUUUAAAUCAAAUAGCACCACCCACUAUUUUUGGCAAAUUCCAUAUCCCUCAUUGGAAUUCGAGAGUUUUGGAGGAAACUCUUAGUAGGGUAUGGGAGACUCACUACUACCAAGCCCACCUCACAAUGAUAUGAUGUUGGCUAGCAUUAAUAAUAAUGAGAGAGUACGCUUACUCAUUUGCAUCUCUUGCAAGUACCCAUCUUAUUUGGCCUCUAGAGAAUGUCACCUCACAAUGAUAUGAUGUUGGCUCCAUUGCACUUAGUUAAGUCAUUCCCACCAUGCUUAGUUCAUGAAGGGGUUCAAGAAUAGCCUCACAAUGAUAUGAUGUUGGCCAUCCUCGUUGCCUACACUCACCUCAUCAAGUAUGUAUAUAGACUCCUCCUGAGUGUAAGCACGCACUUUGUACUCCCCCAUGAUAGGGUGAAGCCGGUGUACGAGUCACAAACGAUCGAAGCCUACCACGGUGGAAGGCCACGAAAGAGUGUUCAAAGCACUCUCACACUUGUCAACUUAAUAAUGGUUUGGUUGAGGGUUUUAGGUCUCAUCACAUAUAAACAUACAUUUUAAUCUCUAUUAAAACAAUUUUGGUCCUAUUACAACUAUUGGUCCAUAUGAUUGUUUUUAGUUGUAUAUAAUACUCCCACUAUGCUUAUAAAACGUUUUUAAAGCAAGAGUAUAUGAUACUACUAACAUAACCUUUGCAUUCAUUUGAUGGACUAUAUAGUUGCCUUAGGGCCUUAGGAUGACUAUGAACCUUUGUUUAGAUUCAACACGAGCCUUGUGUUGAAUCUCGGUCUAGGGAUGGUGAUUGAUUUUAGUUACGCGUUUAAUCACAUUAAGGCGUGUUGUCUUAGGGCGUUGGACCCAACUACUUCAUUUUCAUGCAUAUCAAAUAAAGCAAGAAAGAAGUACUUCAAAGUAAAGGCGAGCUUAUGCUCAUUACAACAUUUGCAUAAUACAAAUUACUUUAAAGUAAAGAAGAGCUUAAGCUCUUUUACAACAUUUGAUCAAAUCAAAUUACAACCAAAAUCUAAUCUACACAUUCCCAUGGUUCAAACAAAUUUGAAACGGCCUUUCACAUAGCUCAAUUAUCGUAGGCUUAGGUUCAUAAGCACCCUUUAAUUAAUUAACACUUUAACUAAUUAAAUUUGAAUGCAACAUUUUCAUUUGGUUUUUGUAUCCAUAAAAUUGAUUUAAAUGGAGCUAAACAAAAUGAAAAUCCAAUUCUCAUUUAAAGAGACAAAACAAUUUUGUUCUCUACCUAAUUUGGGCCAUAAAGCAAUUAACCUCAACUUUUGGGCUAUAUUGCAAAAACAUAAACUUUUGGGGUCACUUUGUAAAAACACAAAAGUCCACUACUUCAUGUAAAUACAACUAGAACCCAAAAUUUAAACAAUGCAAAAACUUCAUUAAAGGAACAAAACAAUUUGUCCUUUAGCGUUUUUGGACCUAAACGUAAAAACGUAAACUUUUGGGCCAAAGUGCAAAUACACAAAAGUAUCAAAACUUUAUGUAAUUGCAUAAAAGCCCCAAAAGUACCCUACAUGUAGGGUGGCCGGUUUUGGAGAGGAAAGGAGUGAUGUGUGUGUUGAUUUGUGAGUUUUGACAUAAAGCAAGCAAGUUGUGCAAGUGGUGUGUGUGAAAGGGAAUUAAUCCUUUCACACCCACCAUUAUUUCUACCACCAUUUAAACAUUUUAAAAAACAUAAAACAUAAACUUUAUGAAAUAAAAAUCAAAACUUUGAAUCAAAACACAAAACCUUUUUGUUCUUGGCAAAAAUGUCAAGAACAAUGAAGAACAUUCAUGAAAAAACCCAAAAAAUUUCCAUGAACAUUUUUACUCCAAAAACAUCCCAAAACCAUUCAAACUUUAGGGAAAUAACAUAUAACCAAACUAGGGUACAUAGGGGUUCCAAAAGUCACUUGAAAACACUUUUAACAAGUCAAACAAGAACCCAAAAAAUCCACCCUUUGGAUUUGGCCGAAAAUUCCCAAAAGCAUGGCACCAAAUUUUAGCUCCAAUAUUCAUGCUCAUAUGAACUACAUCUACAACAUUUGAGAUGGCAAAUUUUCUAACAAAAUUUACAUUCAAAGAAACAAGAAUAAAGCUUGUAACAUAUUACAACUUUUAAAUCACAAACUAUGAACUACAAAACCCAAAAGGAUUCACCAACUACUAGACCUAGGCUCUGAUACCACUUGAAGGAUGAUUUUGUGAAAACAUGUUCAUUUGAAUAACAUCUAUAGCAUGCAUUUAACAAUUAAAAGGCGGAAUCAUGCUUGCAUGCAUUCAAAAACAAAACAUUACCCAUGAAAUUCAAAGCCUAGUAGAUUGGUGAACCAAGACUCAACUCAAAUCAAAGUGAGUUGAGAAAUUUAUACCUUUGUAGAUUCCUCUUUGCAUAAGCAAAGGCUAAUCACCCAAGGAGAGGGCCUUCAUUCCUUGCUUCUUAGAUCCAUGGAUUUGGAUGGAAGAAUAUGGUUCUCCAAGUUCCCAAAAUUGAGAACCUCUAAGUGUCUACACCAAGGUUAGAUUGGAGAAGAAAUGAGUGACCUUGGAGGAGUGGGAUUGCUAGAUACACCCUCCAAGGGGGCCGGCCUCCUAGAGAGAAAAGGAGAGACAUGUUCUCUCCAAUUUUCUCCAAAAGAACCCUUAAUGAAUUUUAGGCUAUAAAGUUCUUUAUAUAGUCACUUCUUAAAUGACCUAAAGAACCAAAAACCCUAAUUCAACACACAUGGCCGGCCACAUAAGGGAUUUGGGCUUUUGGGCCUUUGUGAAUCUUUAUUCAUUAAAUUGUCAUACAACUUAAGUCAAUGGGCUUGACGUUCGAAGCCCAUUGGGCCUUAAGGUCCAAAACUAUCCCGAGGUCUUUAACGAACUUAUUCGUUUGAUUAAUUAACAUAUUAAUUAAUCCUUGCCAUAAAUAAUUAAACCAUUUAAUUAUUCUUACUCAUCUCCAUUGUUUCUUCAAUCUCCACCUUUACACGGUGUACGAUCCAUUAGGUUCCUUUUAGCGAGGCAGUGGGCGAUUAGAACUCUUUCAAAUCGAUUGUGAAUUGAAACUUACUUUCAAUUCUCCCUUUAGUGUUUAUACACGUUUAGGGCUUCCACAAACCAAGAGUGACACCUAGCAGCAUAUCAUGGUUACCCAAGCUAAUCAGAAGAGGUAGAGAACCUAUUCAGUUUAGGAUUACAAAUGCAAUACGGUCUUUCUCUAAUACAAUACUCUUGACCACAUUGUUUGGUUUGAUAGUUUAUUCAUGUCUACUAUCCAAUGUGAUUCGUGUGCUUAUAUGAUUACCUUGAAUGUGAUUUGGAACGACUUUCCUAAAUCUCAUUCAUACUCUGGCCAGAGAUUCUAAAUCAUAUCAUAGAGUAUUCUCCCCCAAACGGUUUGAAGGUUAGAGAGAUCCCUUGUUGCGCAUUCACUUGCCUCC